RNAcentral lists this ribosomal RNA (465 nucleotides) under Vreelandella stevensii. RNAcentral's name for it is "partial 16S ribosomal RNA". It matches the Rfam family "Bacterial small subunit ribosomal RNA", at positions 338 to 795 of the family's 1533-position model. Lineage: Bacteria; Pseudomonadati; Pseudomonadota; Gammaproteobacteria; Oceanospirillales; Halomonadaceae. The record is from RNAcentral.
CCUACGGGGGGCUGCAGUGGGGAAUAUUGGACAAUGGAGGGAACCCUGAUCCAGCCAUGCCGCGUGUGUGAAGAAGGCCCUCGGGUUGUAAAGCACUUUCAGUGAGGAAGAACGCCUGGUGGUUAAUACCCAUCAGGAAAGACAUCAUUCACAGAAGAAGCACCGGCUAACUCCGUGCCAGCAGCCGCGGUAAUACGGAGGGUGCGAGCGUUAAUCGGAAUUACUGGGCGUAAAGCGCGCGUAGGUGGCUUGAUAAGCCGGUUGUGAAAGCCCCGGGCUCAACCUGGGAACGGCAUCCGGAACUGUCAAGCUAGAGUGCAGGAGAGGAAGGUAGAAUUCCCGGUGUAGCGGUGAAAUGCGUAGAGAUCGGGAGGAAUACCAGUGGCGAAGGCGGCCUUCUGGACUGACACUGACACUGAGGUGCGAAAGCGUGGGUAGCAAACAGGAUUAGAUACCCGAGUAGUC